RNAcentral lists this ribosomal RNA (933 nucleotides) under uncultured bacterium. RNAcentral describes it as "bacterial SSU rRNA". It matches the Rfam family "Bacterial small subunit ribosomal RNA", at positions 25 to 952 of the family's 1533-position model. The record is from RNAcentral.
UCGUGCUCGUGCUCGUGCUCAAGCCUAAUACAUGCAAGUCGAGCGGAUGAUGGGAGCUUGCUCCUGGAUUCAGCGGCGGACGGGUGAGUAAUGCCUAGGAAUCUGCCUGGUAGUGGGGGACAACGUUUCGAAAGGAACGCUAAUACCGCAUACGUCCUACGGGAGAAAGCAGGGGACCUUCGGGCCUUGCGCUAUCAGAUGAGCCUAGGUCGGAUUAGCUAGUUGGUGGGGUAAUGGCUCACCAAGGCGACGAUCCGUAACUGGUCUGAGAGGAUGAUCAGUCACACUGGAACUGAGACACGGUCCAGACUCCUACGGGAGGCAGCAGUGGGGAAUAUUGGACAAUGGGCGAAAGCCUGAUCCAGCCAUGCCGCGUGUGUGAAGAAGGUCUUCGGAUUGUAAAGCACUUUAAGUUGGGAGGAAGGGUUGUAGAUUAAUACUCUGCAAUUUUGACGUUACCGACAGAAUAAGCACCGGCUAACUCUGUGCCAGCAGCCGCGGUAAUACAGAGGGUGCAAGCGUUAAUCGGAAUUACUGGGCGUAAAGCGCGCGUAGGUGGUUAGUUAAGUUGGAUGUGAAAUCCCCGGGCUCAACCUGGGAACUGCAUUCAAAACUGACUGACUAGAGUAUGGUAGAGGGUGGUGGAAUUUCCUGUGUAGCGGUGAAAUGCGUAGAUAUAGGAAGGAACACCAGUGGCGAAGGCGACCACCUGGACUGAUACUGACACUGAGGUGCGAAAGCGUGGGGGAGCAAACAGGAUUAGAUACCCUGGUAGUCCACGCCGUAAACGAUGUCAACUAGCCGUUGGGAGCCUUGAGCUCCUAGUGGCGCAGUAACGCAUUAAGUUGACCGCCUGGGGAGUACGGCCGCAAGGUUAAAACUCAAAUGAAUUGACGGGGGGCCGCACAAGCGGUGGAGCAUGUGGGUUAAUUC